Molecule: long non-coding RNA, 470 nt
Filed under: Physcomitrium patens
Lineage: Eukaryota; Viridiplantae; Streptophyta; Bryopsida; Funariales; Funariaceae
Description: long non-coding RNA (PPAT_LNC005474)
Source: RNAcentral
UUUGUCAUUCUUGUCCAUGUUGCAAGUAAGGUUUUGGAAUCCAGUAACAUACAUGGUGGCUAAUAGUGAUCUUUAUUAUAAAGAUAAGAACUGAGUCUCUACUAAUCCUUAUCAAUUACUUUCUCUAAAUGUGGAUAUAAACACUUUUAGGAAUGAAUUAAAAACAUAAAAGAAACAUGAAUCUAUUUUCAUCAAAGAUGCAUAUAAAAAGAAAGCACUUUCAGAUAGAAAAGUGCCUAUAACCUCAACUUAAGUAAAUCUAUUAGAAUAUUAGAAAAGAUGCAAUUUUAGAUAAAACUUGAUUUCUUGCAAAAUUCCUUAAAACUUUUAUCUUAUUCCAUUAAAUUUCUUGGGCAUAUUAAUCCUUUCCUCUCUCAUGCUUAUAGAAAUAAGAUUUUUUAGAUUUAAUUGUGAGAUCAAUUUAAUUGCUUCUUUCAACUGCACAAUUUUUUAGUGUAAACUCUAAAUUU